UAGUUUUGGGACAUCUUUCAAAUUCAUCAGACUGCAUCCAUCUUCCAGUGGCAUCUUUGCUUUGUACUAAAACUUUCCUUUUUCAGAUGACAUCUGUGAGAAUUCUUAUAGUGUUGCAGCAGUAUAAUCCUGUAUGACAUUCAGAACCUCUAAACAGGGAAAUUACAGUACCUGUCAAAUUGAUGUUCAAACACCACUGUGCUUCUGUGGGAUAGUUUUAAUUUACUUUUUAAUUUUUGUUUCCAAAGGUAAAGUCAUGUUUGUAUGAAGUUGAGCUGAAGACAUUUAUUAUCUCAGUAUGUUAAGUAAAACAGCCGUAUAUAUAAAGGCAGAAUAUUGGCUGAAUAUUUUGCAAUCAAUUUACAGUCUCAGAAGGAAACUUUUUCUCUUUUCAAUUCUUUGUAAAGCCAUGUGUAAUAACAUUGUUUUCUGAAAAGCAUAUGCCAACAAUUGCUAGUGUGAUAAUGUAUUAUUAACGUAACUAAGCUCAAAACCAGGCACAUGUAUAAUUCUUUCUUCUGUUGUGGGCUGCUUUGUCUAGAACAUGGAUGGGGGCCCGAUUGCUGCAUCUGUGCACAACCAGCUCUCUGAAACUACCCCCUUGUCCUUGGAAACGUCAUGGCUCUUUCUUCUUAGCUGGGCUGGAGGUAAAAUGGUCUUGCCAACUGAUUUUAUUUUGCCAGAUCUGAUCUUAUUUAGAGCUGCAAUCAGAUGAGAUCUUUCCUGACAGAAGACAAAGUAAAUGCUUCCCUUCAAUGUGAUUCAUUUGGGACUGCAGUGGAGAAGCAGAAAUUGGAUUUUAUCUCUUUCAUCUGUCUCAAGCACUGGGGCUGCAUUACAUCUGGUGAGACUGGAGGGUUUACUGAUGCUUGGGAAAGACGAAUAUUUCAUACCUGUCCAUCUCUGCAAAUAAUCCACAAAAAUUUAAACCAGAAAGAAAACCAGCUGCUGCCGUUCAGCAAGAAGUCUAUUACGAAUCCCUAGGUGGCAUGGAAAGCAUUUAGACUCAUUUCAUUCACAUGUCAGCAAAGCAGAUCUACUCUGGGAAAUAUCCUCCAAGAUGUUCUCUACAUUCCGCCCAGUUACGAAGAAGAUUUUGUCUUAAUUGCACACCAAACAGGAAAAUGCAGCAUAAGCUCACAAGUUGGUAUUCACAAAAGUACUGACUUAUACACCCAGCCUCCACGUAUGGUGGGAUGUUACUGAAAAAAUAAAAGUCAUCUAUAUAUUC
Non-coding RNA from Taeniopygia guttata (zebra finch), 1231 nucleotides. Lineage: Eukaryota; Metazoa; Chordata; Aves; Passeriformes; Estrildidae. The record is from RefSeq and is a predicted model, not a curated record.